CAGAUUCCGGGUCUUCCUAUCGAUUGCAAAGUAUCAUACAAGUAUAAACAAAUAUUUUAAAAUUGCCUUCAUAGCUUUAACUGCAAGUGAGACAUUUACGUUUAACAAAUCAUGUUUUAUUUUUUGCAGUUUUCCAGGUUGGUGUGGUGGCAUUAUUGCAUAGAUGAGAGACCAUCCAUGAUUCAUACACAACAUCGACUGACGUGGUCUCAGAUUUGAAGCAGGAAGGGUGACCGUGUGUACAUACAGAUCAUGGACUAAGGUGUUGUCAGAUCUGCAGCAUAAAUGGGUUCCAUGGAAACGUACCUCUACGUCUAGGCAGUGGUAUAAUGGAUGGCCGACGGACAGAUGUACAAAGUUAUACAGCAGAUUUUGGAGCAAAUAGGG
This is a long non-coding RNA of Mercenaria mercenaria, 387 nucleotides long. RefSeq lists it as uncharacterized. The record is from RefSeq and is a predicted model, not a curated record. NCBI's taxonomy places the organism in Eukaryota, Metazoa, Mollusca, Bivalvia, Venerida, Veneridae. The transcript is spliced from 3 exons.